This 1092-nucleotide ribosomal RNA is filed under the name Triticum aestivum (bread wheat). Its description in RNAcentral is "partial small subunit ribosomal RNA". Lineage: Eukaryota; Viridiplantae; Streptophyta; Magnoliopsida; Poales; Poaceae. The record is from RNAcentral.
AUGGAGCACCGGACAGACAGCGCCGGCGUCCCCAUCAACUCGCUGCUCCGCGCCGCCGCGCGGCUCGAUCCGGAGAAGAUCGACUUCCGCCUCCCCUCCGGCUUAAUCGAUCGUUCCCUCGCUGUCGAUCUGCCUCGCUUCCACCGCGCCACCUCCAUCGCGCUGGACCUUUCCCCCAUCACCCUGGCCGUGCCGGCGGGCGCCGAUUUCGCCGCACUCGAGACGCUGUCCCUGGCGCGUUGCAGUACCGAUCUCGACGCCUUGCUCUCCUGCUGCCCGCGCUUGCGCACGCUCCGCCUCAGCACGGCCCGCGACAUUACGGUCAACUCGCCGUCGCUCCAGGAGCUUGUCGUCUGCUGUGAGACCAGUAUGACACGACAUGUCGACAUCGUUGCUCCCGCGCUUAAGCAGUUGGUCAUCUCAUUGACGGCGGUGGACCACAGCAUCUCCGUCUUGGCACCAAUGGUGGAGAAGGUCUCGUGGCACUGCCAAUACUUGGGGCCGCGUAUUGUGUUUGGCGUUUGGAGCCUCAACAAGGUGCAGCUACAGUCGGCGGAGAUACAAGGAGAGCCAUCGUCGCUGUGUAUUUAUGCCUGCGCUCAGGCGAGCCACUUUAAGCAGGAGAUCGAGAAACAUAUGGUUGCUGCUUUCUCUUGUUUAGAGCUUCAUCUCAUAACGACGGGGCAUGCUUUUGGAGCUUUAGUGUUUCAUCUUCUUGGAAUGAAUCGAAUUCGUACUGCUACGCGGAGGCUUAAGGUCGUCCUACAGAGAUCAGCGUUGAAAGAAGUAUGCCCGCCAUACUGUCUUUGUGAGUCGAACUGGAGGUCCCAGACUAUAUCCUUGGAUGCUCUCGAAGAAGUGGAGUUCAAUGGAUUCAGCGGAGCGGAUCAUGAGUUUGAUUUAUUGGAAUUGAUACUUGGAUGUGCACCGACACUAAAAAGAAUGAUUGUCAAGCUGUCCGAUGAGACCUCGGCAAGUAAUGAUGGAUGCGCAAAGAUAGUCAACAUCUUAAAGGCAUGUUCUUCCGUGGAAUGUGAUGUUUAUCACAGCUCGGGGUUAAUGCACGGCAGCCAAAAUUGCCCGUCGACAUGA